Non-coding RNA from Vicia faba (fava bean), 282 nucleotides. Lineage: Eukaryota; Viridiplantae; Streptophyta; Magnoliopsida; Fabales; Fabaceae. The record is from the annotation of a GenBank genome assembly.
AUGAUUGUCUUAAGUUGGAAUUGUCGAGGUUUAAGCAACUUGAUUGCAAUUCCAAAUAUGCAUAAUCUUUCUCAACGGCAUCUUCCCGAUAUUAUUUUCUUGUUUGAGACUCUAGUUACUUCGAGAAGGGUGGAAACAAUUUGUUUAAGCCUGAAAUAUGAUUUGUGCCUUACUAUUGAUGUAGAGGAUAGAAGUGGUGGUCUUGCGGUAUUAUGGUGUAAUAGAAUCAAGUAUAUUGUGAUGAACUACUCGCGGAACUUUGUUCACCUUUUGAUCGAGUGA